RNAcentral lists this ribosomal RNA (1345 nucleotides) under uncultured bacterium. Its description in RNAcentral is "partial 16S ribosomal RNA". It matches the Rfam family "Bacterial small subunit ribosomal RNA", at positions 28 to 1381 of the family's 1533-position model. The record is from RNAcentral.
GACGAACGCUGGCGGCGUGCUUAACACAUGCAAGUCGAACGGAAAGGCCCUGCUUUUGUGGGGUGCUCGAGUGGCGAACGGGUGAGUAACACGUGAGUAACCUGCCCUUGACUUUGGGAUAACUUCAGGAAACUGGGGCUAAUACCGGAUAGGAGCUCCUGCUGCAUGGUGGGGGUUGGAAAGUUUCGGCGGUUGGGGAUGGACUCGCGGCUUAUCAGCUUGUUGGUGGGGUAGUGGCUUACCAUGGCUUUGACGGGUAGCCGGCCUGAGAGGGUGACCGGCCACAUUGGGACUGAGAUACGGCCCAGACUCCUACGGGAGGCAGCAGUGGGGAAUAUUGCACAAUGGGCGGAAGCCUGAUGCAGCAACGCCGCGUGCGGGAUGACGGCCCUCGGGUUGUAAACCGCUUUCGCCUGUGACGAAGCGUGAGUGACGGUAAUGGGUAAAGAAGCACCGGCUAACUACGUGCCAGCAGCCGCGGUGAUACGUAGGGUGCGAGCGUUGUCCGGAUUUAUUGGGCGUAAAGGGCUCGUAGGUGGUUGAUCGCGUCGGAAGUGUAAUCUUGGGGCUUAACCCUGAGCGUGCUUUCGAUACGGGUUGACUUGAGGAAGGUAGGGGAGAAUGGAAUUCCUGGUGGAGCGGUGGAAUGCGCAGAUAUCAGGAGGAACACCAGUGGCGAAGGCGGUUCUCUGGGCCUUUCCUGACGCUGAGGAGCGAAAGCGUGGGGAGCGAACAGGCUUAGAUACCCUGGUAGUCCACGCUGUAAACGGUGGGUACUAGGUGUGGGGUCCAUUCCACGGGUUCCGUGCCGUAGCUAACGCUUUAAGUACCCCGCCUGGGGAGUACGGCCGCAAGGCUAAAACUCAAAGGAAUUGACGGGGCCCCGCACAAGCGGCGGAGCAUGCGGAUUAAUUCGAUGCAACGCGUAGAACCUUACCUGGGUUUGACAUGGAUCGGGAGUGCUCAGAGAUGGGUGUGCCUCUUUUGGGGUCGGUUCACAGGUGGUGCAUGGCUGUCGUCAGCUCGUGUCGUGAGAUGUUGGGUUAAGUCCCGCAACGAGCGCAACCCUUGUUCACUGUUGCCAGCACGUUAUGGUGGGGACUCAGUGGAGACCGCCGGGGUCAACUCGGAGGAAGGUGGGGAUGACGUCAAGUCAUCAUGCCCCUUAUGUCCAGGGCUUCACGCAUGCUACAAUGGCUGGUACAGAGAGUGGCGAGCCUGUGAGGGUGAGCGAAUCUCGGAAAGCCGGUCUCAGUUCGGAUUGGGGUCUGCAACUCGACCUCAUGAAGUCGGAGUCGCUAGUAAUCGCAGAUCAGCAACGCCGCGGUAAAACGUUCCCGGGGCU